AUCGAUUUUUUUAUUUUUUUUUUUAUUUUUAUAAUGACUCAUCAAUCAGAGAAUAUGUCAAGCUGUGUCAAGACCCCUCCAAGGUUCCACUUCUAUACUUAUAUUUAUUAGUAUGUUUAUCCAGGACAAAUGAUUGUAUUGGGAUGCUCUAUGUGUUGUCUCUUUUUAUUUUAAUUUCAAUUAACAUGGAUUGAAUACAUAUUUUUUUACUGAUAAAUCAAUUUUUUUCAUUUGGACAAUGAGGUUAUAUUGGUGUGAUUUUGGGCGUGUGUGUGUGUGUAAACAUACACCUUGACAUCAUCUAUGUGAUAAGUCCAUGACAAAUGGAACUGAAAUUUUACUGUUGAAAUGGAGUCUUGUCCAGAUUUUAUAUCACGUAUGUACUGUUAUUAUUAUUAUUUUUAUAUUCAAUCAUAUGACUGAUUUUUGACGUGAUAUAAUUGACUCAAACAGCUGCAAUUUAAGAGUUUUUCUUUUUCUAUUUUGCCUUGAGUUGAGUCAAUAAGUUUUGAAUAACAAAUUGUUUAGUAUCAUUUCUACACAUCAUCCAUUUUAAAUUGAAUUUUUUUUAAAACAUUGAUUCACGUCGAUGCAUAAAUUUCCAUCGCGAACAAGUGGAAAAGUACAAUCACAACCGGGAUU
Aphidius gifuensis is the source of this 642-nucleotide long non-coding RNA. RefSeq lists it as uncharacterized. The record is from RefSeq and is a predicted model, not a curated record. The transcript is spliced from 4 exons. Lineage: Eukaryota; Metazoa; Arthropoda; Insecta; Hymenoptera; Braconidae.